Molecule: long non-coding RNA, 1131 nt
Organism: Capra hircus (goat)
Lineage: Eukaryota; Metazoa; Chordata; Mammalia; Artiodactyla; Bovidae
Exons: 3
Source: RefSeq, a predicted model, not a curated record
GACGUGAGGCUGACGGCGCCAUGUUCUCCGCGCACGCCUGGCCUGGGGUCCUCCAGUUUUCUCUGGGCAUAGGCAGUGGAUUCCGAGAAGGCCCUUUCCAGAGAAACAAGUCUGCUCUCAAGGGCAGGUUCCGUCCCGCCAUCCCUGGUCAAUUUGAGGUUGAGAAGCAGAAUCUUGUUGGAGCGAACCCUUGAGAUGCAAAGUGGAGAGGAGGCAUCUCUGGACUUGUCCGCUCCCAGCCGGACACGUGGGGAAGAGGGGAAAACGAGCGACCAUGGCGGUGACAUCGGGGAGCUGGCCUGGCACACACAGCUGGCCUCUGUGUUCUACUGAAUAUGCAGAGUUCCAUGAAACGUAGACAUCAAGCUCUGGUGUUAGAUCCACGGCAAAAACGAGGCCCCUCCAUACUUGUCUGAACACAGACAGGAGAAGAACAUUGUCCAAGCCACGAAAAUGACCAAACCUCCUACUGUCUCAGCCAGUCAGAGUGACUGCUCAUUCUUUACCAGCUCCAGAUCCACAUGUUCAUAUAUCCUUCAUGUGAUAUCUCAGGGAAGUCUCAAAAGUUGCUCAAACUCAAUAUGUGCUAGCUGAAAUUGUGAGCUGCAGUAUGAAGAGGGCCACAGCAAGGAAUGGAGGGCGGCUUCCAGCUGGCAGAAAAGGAGGCCUUCAGGAGCACGUGAAGAAAUGAGUGCUGCAAACGGCUACAUGAGCAUGGAAGUGGGUCCUUCCUAGUCAAGCCUCAGAUGAAACUCCAGUCCAGGCCAACACCUCAGUUGCAGCCUUGCAGAGGACUCCUGACCCAUGAAAACUGCAAUAACAAGUGGAUGUGGUUUUAAGCCACUAAAUCUUUGAAAAGGAGAGAAAUCUUUGAAAACAUGACUCAGUCCAUUGCCCUCCUGGCUCUAAGUCUUCCAACUGCAAGACCCUCAUCGUGGGCAUUUAGGUGAGCAAUAGCAAUUUUAUAUUUGUGAAUAUAAUUUGACUUUCCAUAAAUGAGACUUGAUCAACAUUUUCUGAAAUUUUUUAACUAGAAAAAUAGAUUUACCAUGAAACUUUCAUCCUCUGUUCACUUAAUACUAUGAGAAAUAGCUGAAAAAAAAAGAAAUAGCUCAUCGUUAUUUACUUCUU